AGAGCGAACGCUGGCGGCAGGCUUAACACAUGCAAGUCGAGCGGGCGUAGCAAUACGUCAGCGGCAGACGGGUGAGUAACGCGUGGGAACGUACCUUUUGGUUCGGAACAACCCAGGGAAACUUGGGCUAAUACCGGAUAAGCCCUUACGGGGAAAGAUUUAUCGCCGAAAGAUCGGCCCGCGUCUGAUUAGCUAGUUGGUGAGGUAAUGGCUCACCAAGGCGACGAUCAGUAGCUGGUCUGAGAGGAUGAUCAGCCACAUUGGGACUGAGACACGGCCCAAACUCCUACGGGAGGCAGCAGUGGGGAAUAUUGGACAAUGGGCGCAAGCCUGAUCCAGCCAUGCCGCGUGAGUGAUGAAGGCCCUAGGGUUGUAAAGCUCUUUUGUGCGGGAAGAUAAUGACGGUACGCAAGAAUAAGCCCCGGCUAACUUCGCGCCAGCAGCCGC
Molecule: ribosomal RNA, 447 nt
Filed under: uncultured bacterium
Lineage: Bacteria
Description: SSU rRNA
Rfam family: Bacterial small subunit ribosomal RNA
Source: RNAcentral